RNAcentral lists this ribosomal RNA (714 nucleotides) under uncultured euryarchaeote ARMAN-1. RNAcentral describes it as "bacterial SSU rRNA". It matches the Rfam family "Archaeal small subunit ribosomal RNA", at positions 764 to 1478 of the family's 1478-position model. Lineage: Archaea; Methanobacteriati; Methanobacteriota. The record is from RNAcentral.
AGACUCUGGUGUUGCAAGUAUCACGAAUGCUUGCAGUACCGUAGCGUAAGUGUUAAGUCUGCCGCCUGGGGAGUACGGCCGCAAGGUUGAAACUUAAAGCAAUUGGCGGGGGAGCACACAAGGGGUGGAUGCUGCGGUUUAAUUGAAUCCAACGUCGGAAAUAUUACCAGAAGCGACGGCAGUGUGAAGGUCAGACUGAAGAUCUUACCUGACAAGCCGAGAGGUAGUGCAUGGCGACCGUCAGCUCGUGGUGUGAACUGUCCGGUUAAGUCCGGUAACGAGCGAGACCCUCGCUUACAGUUGCUACCUGCUUAGAGAUAAGCAGGGCACUCUGUUAGGACCGCCUUCGUUUAAGGAGGAGGAAGGAGAGGGCGACGAUACGUCAGUAUGCUCUGAAUCUUCUGGGCUACACGCGGCAUACAAAGGUCGGCACAAUGAGAUGCAACACCGAAAGGUGAAGCUAAUCCCCUAAAACCGGCCCAAGUUCGGAUUGAGGGCUGAAACUCGCCCUCAUGAAGCUGGAAUCCCUAGUAAUCGCUUGUCACUAUCGAGCGGUGAAUACGUCCCUGCUCCUUGCACACACCGCCUACCAAGCCACCCAAGUGAGGUCUUAGUGAGGCAGCGCCACUGGCGUUUUCGAACUAAGGUUUCGCGAGGUGGGCUAAGGUAUAACAAGGUAUCCGUAGGGGAACCUGCGGAUAGAUCACCUCAAAA